CCUACGGGAGGCAGCAGUGGGGAAUCUUGCACAAUGGAGGAAACUCUGAUGCAGCGAUGCCGCGUGAGUGAAGAAGGCCUUUGGGUUGUAAAGCUCUUUUGUAGGGGAAGAUAAUGACUGUACCCUAAGGAUAAGGUCCGGCUAACUUCGUGCCAGCAGCCGCGGUAAUACGAAGGGACCUAGCGUAGUUCGGAAUUACUGGGCGUAAAGCGCGCGUAGGCCGUUGAGUUAGUUAAUUGUGAAAUCCCAAAGCUUAACUUUGGAACUGCAAUUAAAACUGCUCGACUAGAGUUUGAUAGAGGAAAGCGGAAUACAUAGUGUAGAGGUGAAAUUCGUAGAUAUUAUGUAGAACACCAGUUGCGAAGGCGGCUUUCUGGAUCAACACUGACGCUGAGGCGUGAAAGUAUGGGUAGCAAAGAGGAUUAGAUACCCUCGUAGUCCAUACCAUAAACGAUGAUUGCUAGAUGUUGGAAAUUUAUUUUCAGUAUCGCAGCUAACGCAUUAAGCAAUCCGCCUGGGGAGUACGACCGCAAGGUUAAAACUCAAAGGAAUUGACGG
RNAcentral lists this ribosomal RNA (558 nucleotides) under uncultured bacterium. Its description in RNAcentral is "bacterial SSU rRNA". It matches the Rfam family "Bacterial small subunit ribosomal RNA", at positions 338 to 916 of the family's 1533-position model. The record is from RNAcentral.